AGACAAGGGGCUGUAGGUAUUUUGUAGGUUUUCAUGCAGUUGCUUUGAGUGGAUUCUCACGGGGAAUCCUGUUCCUCGGGACACUGAGCUUACCUGUCCUGUGCUGAGAGACAGGUGGCCUACCCUCCAUGUGUGCCCCUGACCUAUGCUUUCUUGUUUUCUAGUCACAUCAGGAGAGGAGUGUGUCAUCUGCUUCCACAACACUGCCAACACCCGCCUAAUGCCCUGUGGCCACUCGCAGUUCUGCGGCUCUUGUGCCUGGCACAUCUUCAAAGACACGGCCAGGUGCCCCAUGUGUCGCUGGCAGAUCGAGGAGGUGGCUGUAGAGCCUUCAGUGAAGUCUGGGGAAGGCUCCUGAGAUGAUGGCUUCUUGGACUGUGCAGCAAAUGGGACCUGGCUCUGAGGCAGGCCCUGCCAAAGGAGAAACCUCUGUCUGGAUGUUCGGUCAGCAAGCCCAGCCGAGGGCCACCGUGCCUGAUCUUGGGUCAGAAAGCCUGGUUAGCCACGGAGGCUCAGCGAGUCUUUCCCCAGCCAGAACUUCUGUAGAGGCUGAGGUGGUGCAGAGAAAUCUCUCUGGCUGCUUUGGGAAGCCCCCAGCAUGGCAGAGGCAGCCUGAGCUCCCGUGAGGACGUGAAGGGAUCCUGUUUGUGUCUGGUAAAAGUUACCAGAAGCAGGGACAUAUACCAUGGCAAUCUCCUGGCUGACUUGUGAGAUAGCAAAAUAAAGUUUGUUUUUGUAAC
RNAcentral lists this long non-coding RNA (740 nucleotides) under Rattus norvegicus (Norway rat). RNAcentral describes it as "long non-coding RNA NONRATT029912". The record is from RNAcentral. Lineage: Eukaryota; Metazoa; Chordata; Mammalia; Rodentia; Muridae.